GACGAACGCUGGCGGCGUGCUUAACACAUGCAAGUCGAGCGGUGAACCCUUCGGGGGGAUCAGCGGCGAACGGGUGAGUAACACGUGAGCAACCUGCCCCUGACUCUGGGAUAGCCUCGGGAAACCGGGAUUAAUACCGGAUAUGACAUCGCCUCGCAUGGGGUGGUGUGGAAGGUUUUUCGGCCAGGGAUGGGCUCGCGGCCUAUCAGCUUGUGGGUGGGGUGAUGGCCUACCAAGGCGACGACGGGUAGCCGGCCUGAGAGGGUGACCGGCCACACUGGGACUGAGACACGGCCCAGACUCCUACGGGAGGCAGCAGUGGGGAAUAUUGCGCAAUGGGCGAAAGCCUGACGCAGCGACGCCGCGUGAGGGAUGAAGGCCUUCGGGUUGUAAACCUCUUUCAGCAGGGAAGAAGCGCAAGUGACGGUACCUGCAGAAGAAGCACCGGCUAACUACGUGCCAGCAGCCGCCGUAA
RNAcentral lists this ribosomal RNA (475 nucleotides) under uncultured bacterium. RNAcentral describes it as "partial 16S ribosomal RNA". It matches the Rfam family "Bacterial small subunit ribosomal RNA", at positions 28 to 523 of the family's 1533-position model. The record is from RNAcentral.